Molecule: ribosomal RNA, 207 nt
Filed under: uncultured bacterium
Lineage: Bacteria
Description: partial 16S ribosomal RNA
Rfam family: Bacterial small subunit ribosomal RNA
Source: RNAcentral
CGCGUAGGCGGGAUAUUAAGUCAGGUGUGAAAACUCUGGGCUCAACCUGGAGAUUGCACUUGAAACUGGUAUUCUUGAGGACAGGAGAGGAAAGUGGAAUUCCUAGUGUAGCGGUGAAAUGCGUAGAUAUUAGGAGGAACACCAGUGGCGAAGGCGACUUUCUGGACUGUAACUGACGCUGAGGCGCGAAAGCGUGGGGAGUGAACG